This is a non-coding RNA of Jatropha curcas, 454 nucleotides long. The record is from RefSeq and is a predicted model, not a curated record. NCBI's taxonomy places the organism in Eukaryota, Viridiplantae, Streptophyta, Magnoliopsida, Malpighiales, Euphorbiaceae.
CAGCAUAAAUGUUACAUUGUUGCGACAUGUGAUCGAGAUUUGAAGCGAAGGAUACGUAAGAUCCCUGGUGUACCAAUUAUGUACAUUACUCAACACAAAUAUUCAAUUGAACGGCUGCCCGAAACAACAAUAGGUGGAGUUCCAAGAAUUUGAGACAUCAUAUGCAAGAAUGGGAUAUUACGUGGUUUGGUCACAACCUUGUCUGUUCUGUAUACAUUAUUAGAAGGAAGUAUUUUUUCCCUCCCAAAAUAUCAUGCUGUCUUUUUUUAUAUUUCUGUCCAGUGAUAGGCAAGGUCCUAGUGGAUGUUUAGCAUUACCUAGUGCCUGUCGUCAGUAAGGCUGCUCCCUUCCGUCAAAAGACGACAUAGAAAUUUUGUUCUAGCUCUAUAAUUAUUCAAGUUGCCAUUUGAAAUCAUGUUGAUAUGAAUUUGAUGGUAGUCAAUAUUAACCACAC